UGCGAAAGCGUGGGGAGCAAACAGGAUUAGAUACCCUGGUAGUCCACGCCGUAAACGAUGUCGAUUUGGAGGUUGUGCCCUUGAGGCGUGCUUCCGGAGCUAACGCGUUAAAUCGACGCCUGGGGAGUACGGCCGCAAGGUUAAAACUCAAAUGAAUUGACGGGGGCCCGCACAAGCGGUGGAGCAUGUGGUUUAAUUCGAUGCAACGCGAAGAACCUUACCUGGUCUUGACAUCCACAGAACUUUCCAGAGAUGGAUUGGUGCCUUCGGGAACUGUGAGACAGGUGCUGCAUGGCUGUCGUCAGCUCGUGUUGUGAAAUGUUGGGUUAAGUCCCGCAACGAGCGCAACCCUUAUC
RNAcentral lists this ribosomal RNA (356 nucleotides) under Klebsiella pneumoniae. RNAcentral describes it as "bacterial SSU rRNA". It matches the Rfam family "Bacterial small subunit ribosomal RNA", at positions 752 to 1109 of the family's 1533-position model. The record is from RNAcentral. Lineage: Bacteria; Pseudomonadati; Pseudomonadota; Gammaproteobacteria; Enterobacterales; Enterobacteriaceae.